UCUGUUAUCAGAGUGGUAACUACGUAUUCAUGCCAUUUGGCUAUUAGACGCUGUCUUUGUUCACAUGGUCCUGUUUUUUGCCACGUUGAUGUCUAUGUGCUAAAAUGAGUCCUCUUUUAACAUUCAGCCUGACUGAGAGGAUCCUCCCAAUCCGCAGUGAACACCUGAGGAUACAAGUCCUCAAGCAGAAGUCCCGAACCGCUCCGCUUUCUGGAUCUUGAUUUACAAUAAGCUUUAUUUAAUAUUUCCUGAUGUUGACUGAAAUAUAUGCCAACCAAUUGUAAUACAGUAUGCCUUAUUUUUUUGCAAUGGAAUUCUGGAAAAUACAGUUGCUGGCAAUUUGCUGUAACUGUAAUAAAAUACCGUAACUCAAA
Gasterosteus aculeatus aculeatus (three-spined stickleback) is the source of this 374-nucleotide non-coding RNA. Lineage: Eukaryota; Metazoa; Chordata; Actinopteri; Perciformes; Gasterosteidae. The record is from RefSeq and is a predicted model, not a curated record.